GCCAGGUGCAGUGGUGCACACCUGUAAUCCCAGUGACUUGGGAGGAUGAGUCAGGAGGAUUGAAAGUUCAAAAGGUGCUUAGGAACUCAGUGAGACCCUGUCUCUA
RNAcentral lists this small RNA (106 nucleotides) under Marmota monax (woodchuck). Lineage: Eukaryota; Metazoa; Chordata; Mammalia; Rodentia; Sciuridae. The record is from RNAcentral.